GCAGUCGAACGAAGAGGCCCCUUCGGGGGUACUUCAGUGGCGGACGGGUGAGUAACACGUAGGUGACCUACCCCAAAGCGGGGAAUAACAGUCCGAAAGGAUUGCUAAUACCCCAUGUGGUCAAUGAGUCUAGAUGCUUGUUGACUAAAGGAGCAAUCCGUUUUGGGAGGGGCCUGCGCCCCAUCAGCUAGUUGGUAGGGUAAUGGCCUACCAAGGCUACAACGGGUAGGGGGCCUGAGAGGGUGACCCCCCACAUUGGCACUGACACACGGGCCAAACUCCUACGGGAGGCAGCAGUGAGGAAUAUUGCUCAAUGGGCGAAAGCCUGAAGCAGCAACGCCGCGUGCGCGAUGAAGGUCUUCGGAUCGUAAAGCGCUUUUGAGAGGGACGAGAUAGGACGGUACCUCUUGAAUAAGUCACGGCUAACUACGUGCCAGCAGCCGCGGUAAAACGUAGGUGGCAAGCGUUAUCCGGAUUCACUGGGCGUAAAGCGAGUGCAGGUGGUUGUGUAAGUUGGAUGUGAAAUUUCCCAGCCUAACUGGGAAGGGUCAUUCAAUACUGCGCGACUUGAGGGCAGAAGAGGGGGGUGGAAUUGCCGGUGUAGUGGUGAAAUGCGUAGAUAUCGGCAGGAACACCUGUGGCGAAAGCGGCCCCCUGGUCUGAUCCUGACACUCAGACUCGAAAGCUAGGGUAGCGAACGGGAUUAGAAACCCCGGUAGUCCUAGCCGUAAACGAUGGAUGCUAGGUGUGGGUGGUAUUGACCCCAUCCGUGCCGAAGCUAACGCGUUAAGCAUCCCGCC
RNAcentral lists this ribosomal RNA (800 nucleotides) under uncultured bacterium. Its description in RNAcentral is "bacterial SSU rRNA". It matches the Rfam family "Bacterial small subunit ribosomal RNA", at positions 57 to 873 of the family's 1533-position model. The record is from RNAcentral.